RNAcentral lists this ribosomal RNA (212 nucleotides) under uncultured bacterium. RNAcentral's name for it is "partial 16S ribosomal RNA". It matches the Rfam family "Bacterial small subunit ribosomal RNA", at positions 129 to 334 of the family's 1533-position model. The record is from RNAcentral.
CCUGGUAGCGGGGGAGUAACUAUUGGAAACGAUAGCUAAUACCGCAUAAUAUUGAUUAUUUGCAUGAUAAUUGAUUGAAAGAUGCUAUUGCAUCACUACCAGAUGGACCUGCGUUGUAUUAGCUAGUAGGUGAGGUAACGGCUCACCUAGGCGACGAUACAUAGCCGACCUGAGAGGGUGAUCGGCCACACUGGGACUGAGACACGGCCCAG